Molecule: ribosomal RNA, 92 nt
Filed under: Staphylococcus aureus
Lineage: Bacteria; Bacillati; Bacillota; Bacilli; Caryophanales; Staphylococcaceae
Also listed under: 1 other name
Source: RNAcentral
CACACCUGUUCCCAUGCCGAACACAGAAGUUAAGCUCCUUAGCGCCGAUGGUAGUCGGACUAACGUUCCGCUAGAGUAGGACGUUGCCAGGC